UUCCUUGUUUUUGGCUUGUGCAUCAUAUUUGCAUCUCAUUAGUCCCCGGCUGAGAAGGCCUUCAGUUCAUUAACGACAUCCUCCGACGAGCUCCCAUAAUUCCACGCUUCUCUCGCGCUACCUGCCGCGCACAAUCGGCGAGGGGGAAAAAGCGAAGAAGAAAAGAGGCGCAGGCAUGAGAAGGGCAACAUUUUAUGCAAUGCCAAAACAAAAGCGUCAGGAGGGAGAGAGAGAAUGAGACUCCUUUUUUUUUUGUGAUGAAUGAAAAGCCAUUCACAGAGGCCUCUGCUGGAACUCCAUCAGGACCAGAGAGAAGAGUAGAAAAUGGGGAGAGCCAUGAAUGCAGCCACAUGAUUGAGGGCCUGGUGUCACAUUCAGAGUUCAAGUCUGCUCCUGUCUGGGAGACAGAAGCAGGACUUCCCGUGGAAUAAAUUUUGCUGGAUGUGUGUGACAGAGCCGGGAGGCCAUUUCUCAGGCUGGGCCAUGAGCUUGUUGUCUGCUCUGAGAGUUGGAGGAGUCGCUGUUUCCGCAGAGGAAAGACCCAGCAACGGUCACAACACACCACAGCCCCACACCAUGACAGCCCAUACAUCCGCAUGUGGCAAUACACACACAUGACACACUCUGACAAUUGCCUGCACACCACCACCUACCAAGUCACAAGAAACCAUGAGAGAUUUAGUAGUGUAAGUCAUGCAUUGAUUGAUUAAUUACAAGAAGCUCUGCAUCUGUUCUGUUGUGUACACCAGAUACUAAACCAAAAGAGCUACAUUACUUUAGCUGUGUAAGUCUAGAUUAUAAAUUGAGACUCAAAAACUAACUAACUAACUAAAUAAAUAAAUGACUAAAUAUUAUGUGUGUGUAUAAACUUUAUACCAUAGCACUGUUGAGAUCUCCAGCCCGAUUUGUCAGAAGGUGUUUAUUAAUAUAUUCUCUACUAACAUCUUGUUCACAGGGACAUACAUGGUAGAUGCUUCAAAUAAUCUAAGCCUAAUAAUAAUUGGAUUUAAAAAACAUUAAUGAAAUGUUUAUUUAACAUUUAUGGAAGGACUCUAGGUGUCAGCUCUUUCUAAUGUUCAGUAAGUUUUCUGCAACAAGAGAAUUUUCAGGAUGAAAGACUGUUUUUUCUCUUUUCUGGUUUCUCUGUAAUAUUACAAGAUGCAUUUUUUGUUUUAUUAUUUCAAGAGAGAGAAAACAGAGGCUGGUGUGGGAAGAAAUGAGGGAGUAAGUGAUAACAGGAAUUAACUCAAGGAUGUUCCAUAACAUUAAAUGUAACUAUAAACAUAUAAAAAAGUAUGUCAUUAUUUAAUUAAUAAAAUUGUAGUACUUGUUGACAAAUUGCUAUGGUAUAAAACACUUUGGGAUGUGCCAUUAUUGGAUAUUAAUCAACUUUAGGAUGGUAAUUUUAACUUUGCCUUGCAUAGGACCACACCACACCACCUGUCAUUGAUUAUUUUUCUCUAACAGCAUGCCCAGUCAUGUUUUGUUCCUGACAUGAUAGCUUUCCUGUAUUUGCU
Pangasianodon hypophthalmus (striped catfish) is the source of this 1517-nucleotide long non-coding RNA. RefSeq lists it as uncharacterized. Lineage: Eukaryota; Metazoa; Chordata; Actinopteri; Siluriformes; Pangasiidae. The record is from RefSeq and is a predicted model, not a curated record. The transcript is spliced from 4 exons.